This 491-nucleotide ribosomal RNA is filed under the name uncultured bacterium. Its description in RNAcentral is "partial 16S ribosomal RNA". It matches the Rfam family "Bacterial small subunit ribosomal RNA", at positions 28 to 506 of the family's 1533-position model. The record is from RNAcentral.
GAUGAGCGCUAGCUACAGGCUUAACACAUGCAAGUCGAGGGGAAACGACAUCGAAAGCUUGCUUUUGAUGGGCGUCGACCGGCGCACGGGUGAGUAACGCGUAUCCAACCUGCCCAUCACUUGGGAAUAACCUUGCGAAAGUAAGACUAAUACCCAAUGAUAUCCCACGAAGGCAUCGGAAUGGGAUUAAAGAUUUAUCGGUGAUGGAUGGGGAUGCGUCUGAUUAGCUUGUUGGCGGGGUAACGGCCCACCAAGGCAACGAUCAGUAGGGGUUCUGAGAGGAAGGUCCCCCACAUUGGAACUGAGACACGGUCCAAACUCCUACGGGAGGCAGCAGUGAGGAAUAUUGGUCAAUGGGCGAGAGCCUGAACCAGCCAAGUAGCGUGCAGGAAGACGGCCCUAUGGGUUGUAAACUGCUUUUAUAAGGGAAUAAAGUGGGUCACGUGUGACUUUUUGCAUGUACCUUAUGAAUAAGGACCGGCUAAUUCCGU